AAGUCGUAACAAGGUUUCCGUAGGUGAACCUGCGGAAGGAUCAUUAAUGAAUGUCGAAAGACAAUUAUUUAUCAAACACUUGUGAAUUUUAUCAUAUUUUGCUUUGGCUGAAAGGCCAACAUUUAAACACAUCAAGAAUUUUUAGUAUGAAACUGAAUUAUAAAUUAUUCAAAACUUUCAACAACGGAUCUCUUGGUUCUC
Molecule: unclassified non-coding RNA, 201 nt
Filed under: Saccharomycetales sp.
Lineage: Eukaryota; Fungi; Ascomycota; Saccharomycetes; Saccharomycetales
Description: partial contains small subunit ribosomal RNA, internal transcribed spacer 1, and 5.8S ribosomal RNA
Rfam family: Eukaryotic small subunit ribosomal RNA (bases 1-46)
Source: RNAcentral